AGAGUUUGAUCAUGGCUCAGGACGAACGCUGGCGGCGUGCUUAACACAUGCAAGUGGUGCGACGAACCAGGGCUUGCCCUGGGGCAAAGCCGCGAACGGGUGAGUAACACGUGAGUAACCUGCCCCGAUGACCGGGACAACCCGAGGAAACUCGGGCUAAUACCGGAUGUGGCGCACAGAUAUAAGCCUGUGCGCUAAAGGAAGCUUCGGCCUCCGCAUUGGGAGGGGCUCGCGGCCCAUUAGCUUGUUGGUGGGGUAACGGCCUACCAAGGCAACGAUGGGUAGCUGGUCUGAGAGGACGAUCAGCCACACUGGGACUGAGACACGGCCCAGACUCCUACGGGAGGCAGCAGUGGGGAAUCUUGCGCAAUGCGCGAAAGCGUGACGCAGCAACGCCGCGUGGGGGAAGACGGCCUUCGGGUUGUAAACCCCUUUCAGGAGGGACGAAGGUUCACCGGUGAAUAGCCGUGUGGAUUGACGGUACCUCCAGAAGAAGCUCCGGCUAACUACGUGCCAGCAGCCGCGGUAAUACGUAGGGAGCAAGCGUUGUCCGGAAUCAUUGGGCGUAAAGCGCGCGUAGGCGGCCCUGUAAGUCCGUUGUGAAAGUCAAAGGCUCAACCUUUGAAAGCCGAUGGAUACUGCAGGGCUAGAGUCCGGAAGAGGCGAGUGGAAUUCCUGGUGUAGCGGUGGAAUGCGCAGAUAUCAGGAGGAACACCAAUAGCGAAGGCAGCUCGCUGGGACGGUACUGACGCUAAGGCGCGAAAGCGUGGGGAGCGAACAGGAUUAGAUACCCCAGUAGUCC
RNAcentral lists this ribosomal RNA (802 nucleotides) under uncultured bacterium. Its description in RNAcentral is "bacterial SSU rRNA". It matches the Rfam family "Bacterial small subunit ribosomal RNA", at positions 8 to 796 of the family's 1533-position model. The record is from RNAcentral.